ACGCUCGACACCUACGGGGGGCAGCAGUGGGGAAUAUUGCACAAUGGGGGAAACCCUGAUGCAGCGACGCCGCGUGAGUGAAGAAGUAUUUCGGUAUGUAAAGCUCUAUCAGCAGGGAAGAAAAUGACGGUACCUGACUAAGAAGCCCCGGCUAACUACGUGCCAGCAGCUGCGGUAAUCUGAGCGGGCUGGCAAGGC
RNAcentral lists this ribosomal RNA (198 nucleotides) under uncultured bacterium. RNAcentral describes it as "partial 16S ribosomal RNA". It matches the Rfam family "Bacterial small subunit ribosomal RNA", at positions 328 to 539 of the family's 1533-position model. The record is from RNAcentral.